RNAcentral lists this ribosomal RNA (488 nucleotides) under uncultured marine bacterium. Its description in RNAcentral is "bacterial SSU rRNA". It matches the Rfam family "Bacterial small subunit ribosomal RNA", at positions 17 to 500 of the family's 1533-position model. The record is from RNAcentral.
UCAUGGCUCAGGAUGAACGCUAGCGGCAGGCUUAACACAUGCAAGUCGAGGGGUAACAUUAGUGCUUGCACUAGAUGACGACCGGCGCACGGGUGCGUAACGCGUAUAGAAUCUACCUUUUACAGGGGGAUAGCCUUUAGAAAUGAAGAUUAAUAUCCCAUAGUAUUGCGAAGUGGCAUCACUUUGUAAUUAAAGAUUUAUCGGUAAAAGAUGACUAUGCGUCCUAUUAGUUAGUUGGUAAGGUAACGGCUUACCAAGACUUCGAUAGGUAGGGGUCCUGAGAGGGAGAUCCCCCACACUGGUACUGAGACACGGACCAGACUCCUACGGGAGGCAGCAGUGAGGAAUAUUGGGCAAUGGAGGUAACUCUGACCCAGCCAUGCCGCGUGCAGGAAGACUGCCCUAUGGGUUGUAAACUGCUUUUAUACAGGAAGAAACACUGCUACGUGUAGCAGCUUGACGGUACUGUAAGAAUAAGGACCGGCUAA